GAUGAACGCUGGCGGCGUGCUUAACACAUGCCAGUCGAACGGAAAGGCCCAAGCUUGCUUGGGUACUCGAGUGGCGAACGGGUGAGUAACACGUGGGUGAUCUGCCCUGCACUUCGGGAUAAGCCUGGGAAACUGGGUCUAAUACCGGAUAGGACCUCAUUUUGGAUGGUGUGGUGGAAAGUUUUUCGGUGUGGGAUGAGCUCGCGGCCUAUCAGCUUGUUGGUGGGGUAAUGGCCUACCAAGGCGUCGACGGGUAGCCGGCCUGAGAGGGUGUACGGCCACAGUGGGACUGAGAUACGGCCCAGACUCCUACGGGAGGCAGCAGUGGGGAAUAUUGCACAAUGGGCGCAAGCCUGAUGCAGCGACGCCGCGUGGGGGAUGACGGCCUUCGGGUUGUAAACUCCUUUCGCUAGGGACGAAGCGUUUUUGUGACGGUACCUGGAGAAGAAGCACCGGCUAACUACGUG
Molecule: ribosomal RNA, 467 nt
Filed under: uncultured bacterium
Lineage: Bacteria
Description: partial 16S ribosomal RNA
Rfam family: Bacterial small subunit ribosomal RNA
Source: RNAcentral